RNAcentral lists this ribosomal RNA (710 nucleotides) under Salmonella enterica subsp. enterica serovar Infantis. RNAcentral describes it as "partial 23S ribosomal RNA". It matches the Rfam family "Bacterial large subunit ribosomal RNA", at positions 711 to 1336 of the family's 2925-position model. The record is from RNAcentral. Lineage: Bacteria; Pseudomonadati; Pseudomonadota; Gammaproteobacteria; Enterobacterales; Enterobacteriaceae. RNAcentral also lists the same sequence under 1 other name.
AGACCCGAAACCCGGUGAUCUAGCCAUGGGCAGGUUGAAGGUUGGGUAACACUAACUGGAGGACCGAACCGACUAAUGUUGAAAAAUUAGCGGAUGACCUGUGGCUGGGGGUGAAAGGCCAAUCAAACCGGGAGAUAGCUGGUUCUCCCCGAAAGCUAUUUAGGUAGCGCCUCGUGAAUUCAUCUCCGGGGGUAGAGCACUGUUUCGGCUAGGGGGCCAUCCCGGCUUACCAACCCGAUGCAAACUGCGAAUACCGGAGAAUGUUAUCACGGGAGACACACGGCGGGUGCUAACGUCCGUCGUGAAGAGGGAAACAACCCAGACCGCCAGCUAAGGUCCCAAAGUCAUGGUUAAGUGGGAAACGAUGUGGGAAGGCCCAGACAGCCAGGAUGUUGGCUUAGAAGCAGCCAUCAUUUAAAGAAAGCGUAAUAGCUCACUGGUCGAGUCGGCCUGCGCGGAAGAUGUAACGGGGCUAAACCAUGCACCGAAGCUGCGGCAGCGAACGUAUCACUUAAAGCGAUUCAGCGGGUUACGAUUGACGGAGCGAAGCGACGUCAAAGCGUAUACAAAGUCGAGUCGGUUUAAGGAUACGUUCGUUGGGUAGGGGAGCGUUCUGUAAGCCUGUGAAGGUGUGUCGUGAGGCAUGCUGGAGGUAUCAGAAGUGCGAAUGCUGACAUAAGUAACGAUAAAGCGGGUGAAAAGCCCGCUCG